Vicia faba (fava bean) is the source of this 264-nucleotide non-coding RNA. The record is from the annotation of a GenBank genome assembly. Lineage: Eukaryota; Viridiplantae; Streptophyta; Magnoliopsida; Fabales; Fabaceae.
AUGGAAAACAUAGGAUUUUUUAAUAAUAAAAACAAUAGCAUUCAUGUGCCUAGGUCACAUAUAAAUAUGUGUGUGUGGAACCCGAGCACAUCCAAAUCAAUACAAAUACCGGCUAUCCUAGAAUUUUCUAAUCAUACUUACAAAAUUUAUUCCCUUUUUUCUUUAAAAGAAGAAUCGUAUAAAUUUCAUUGGAGUAGUUUUUGUUGUCGAGGAACUAUUGAAGUAAGUACUUAUUAUGUAUUCAUCUUGUCAUAUCAGAACUAG